RNAcentral lists this ribosomal RNA (305 nucleotides) under uncultured bacterium. RNAcentral describes it as "bacterial SSU rRNA". It matches the Rfam family "Bacterial small subunit ribosomal RNA", at positions 334 to 656 of the family's 1533-position model. The record is from RNAcentral.
CGGUCCUACGGGGGGCAGCAGUGGGGAAUAUUGGACAAUGGGGGAGACCCUGAUCCAGCGACGCCGCGUGAGUGAAGAAGUAUUUCGGUACGUAAAGCUCUAUCAGCAGGAAAGAAAAUGACGGUACCUGACUAAGAAGCCCCGGCUAACUACGUGCCAGCAGCCGCGGUAAUACGUAGGGGGCAAGCGUUAUCCGGAUUUACUGGGUGUAAAGGGAGCGUAGACGGCAGCGCAAGUCUGGAGUGAAAUACCGGGGCUCAACUCCGGGACUGCAUUGGAAACUGUCAGACUGGAGUGUCGGAGAG